Molecule: ribosomal RNA, 497 nt
Filed under: uncultured bacterium
Lineage: Bacteria
Description: partial 16S ribosomal RNA
Rfam family: Bacterial small subunit ribosomal RNA
Source: RNAcentral
GAUGAACGCUGGCGGCGUGCCUAAUACAUGCAAGUCGAGCGAACGGACGAGAAGCUUGCUUCUCUGAUGUUAGCGGCGGACGGGUGAGUAACACGUGGAUAACCUACCUAUAAGACUGGGAUAACUUCGGGAAACCGGAGCUAAUACCGGAUAAUAUUUUGAACCGCAUGGUUCAAAAGUGAAAGACGGUCUUGCUGUCACUUAUAGAUGGAUCCGCGCUGCAUUAGCUAGUUGGUAAGGUAACGGCUUACCAAGGCAACGAUGCAUAGCCGACCUGAGAGGGUGAUCGGCCACACUGGAACUGAGACACGGUCCAGACUCCUACGGGAGGCAGCAGUAGGGAAUCUUCCGCAAAGGGCGAAAGCCUGACGGAGCAACGCCGCGUGAGUGAUGAAGGUCUUCGGAUCGUAAAACUCUGUUAUUAGGGAAGAACAUAUGUGUAAGUAACUGUGCACAUCUUGACGGUACCUAAUCAGAAAGCCUCGGCUAACUACGUG